Long non-coding RNA from Bacillus rossius redtenbacheri, 832 nucleotides. RefSeq lists it as uncharacterized. The record is from RefSeq and is a predicted model, not a curated record. NCBI's taxonomy places the organism in Eukaryota, Metazoa, Arthropoda, Insecta, Phasmatodea, Bacillidae. The transcript has 2 exons.
UUUAUUUGUAAUUUUGUCUUUAAGUGAAGGUAUGUUUUGUUCUAACUAUUUGUAUUGUAUUUUAUUAUCACAUAAUUAUUAUCCAAUUUAAGUGCAUCAAGAAUCAAAGAAAAGAACUCUGAACAAAUUUAAUUAUUUUAAAGUUUAAUUAAUUAUAUUUUCGUCAAGGCAGUGUGCUAUUCAGUUUUCGGAACUAUUCUUUAAAUUGUGCAUUUGUAACUAUGUUUGGCUAACUGUGUUAUGCCAUCUAUGGUCACUUCCUUCUUCUUGGUGACCAUCAUGUGAAAAACUGUAUUAAUUUCUGCUCUUUAUUUAUCCACCGCAUCCAUGCGGUAGUUUCAAGUUUGGGUAGCCGCCUAUUGGCGGCCCACGAGUCAUGGAUCUGGAGUGCUUCCCUAUGCCGGCCAUGCUAUGAACUACUUGUAACCCUUUGUUUGGAGUAGAGGAUGUUCUCCUCUCUUUUCUGACGGCUACGGGAUUCACUCACUCAUGAAUUCAGGAAAGUGAUUCUUCGUUUUCAUACUUCGCAUGAAGCAUGUGUUCGGCAAUAAAUGUGGACAACCUACCUAAAUUCAUUUUAUAAAUUUUUCAUCGUUUGAUUUUUUAUUUUGUUUUGCUAACAUAAAUUUAUGAAUUAAAGUAACGUUAAUAUUUAUUUAAUAUUCUGGGGCCCCAUAUUUUUUCUUUUUUUAAUUUAAGUAACAAAUGUAACAAGUAACAAAUGUAACAAGUGAUAUUCUAUUUAUUGUUUAUGAAGAUUUAUAAAUAACUAAGUAAUACUGUAAUACUCAUAAAGUUUUUUUUAUAUCAAAUAUAACUGAUGGUCUGAAAA